Asparagus officinalis (garden asparagus) is the source of this 281-nucleotide long non-coding RNA. RefSeq lists it as uncharacterized. The record is from RefSeq and is a predicted model, not a curated record. NCBI's taxonomy places the organism in Eukaryota, Viridiplantae, Streptophyta, Magnoliopsida, Asparagales, Asparagaceae. The transcript has 4 exons.
UGUUCUUCAUUCCUCUCCUUUUGUUCUAAUUUUGCCCUAGAUUUCCUGUAGUUUCAAGCGACGAGGGUUUUAAUCCUGCAUAUUUCUCGAUUUCCUGCAAUUAGAUCAGAAAGGUUUUUGUGGAGAAGAUCACGCCCCCUUCAAAGACAUCAGUUGGGAUCGUGAUCCGCUAAGAUGAUUAUGCAUUUUUUAUGUAUAUAAGGACAACAAAGCAGUGACACCGGCAGAAGGUCCGGAUGAAGGUCUGUUGUGUAUUGGAAUCAAUUUUGAGGAAAAAGGAU